AAAAAUCCUCCACCAGGAACAGAGAACACCAUUGCUCCUGGAAAGGUGAAGUGUCAAUCUGCACGGGUGCUCUGUAUCUUCUGUGUGGCUUAUGAAACAGGUGGGCAGAGUGAUGGAUGGACUCAUGCAUCAGCAUUAUCCCUGAGGUGAGUCACGGGAUCUACCAAAUGGCCUUUAUUUCUCAUCAGAGAAAGAAGAGAUAGACCC
RNAcentral lists this long non-coding RNA (207 nucleotides) under Sus scrofa (pig). RNAcentral describes it as "lncRNA (ENSSSCG00025056149.1)". The record is from RNAcentral. Lineage: Eukaryota; Metazoa; Chordata; Mammalia; Artiodactyla; Suidae.